GAGAACGCUGGCGGCAUGCUUCACCACAUGUUAGUUGAACGGGUUUAAGUUUCCUUAAACUUCAAACAAGUAGCGGACGGGUGAGUAACGCGUAAGAACCUACCUUUAGGUAAGGAAUAACUAUUGGAAACGAUAGAUAAUACCUUAUAAAGCUUAUACGUACACAACGAUAAAAUCGCCUAAGGAUGGGCUUGACGUCUGAUUAGCUUGUCUUGGUGAUUUAAACAGAUUCACCAAGGGCAAACGAUCAGUAGUUGGUCUAACGAGGAUGACUCAAGCCACACUGGGACUGAGACACGGCCCAGACCUCUACGGAGGGCAGCAGUGAGGAAUUUUCCGCAAUGGGCGAAAGCCUGACGGAGCAAUGCCGCGUGGAGGAUGAAAGCUAUGUGAGUCGUAAACUCCUUUUACUUAGUGAAGAAAUAAGACGGUAUCUAAGGAAUAAGCAUCGGCUAACAUCCGUGCCAGACAGACCAGCGGUAAUACGGAGGAUGCAAGCGUUAUUCCGGAAUUAUUGGGCGUAAAGACGUCUGUA
RNAcentral lists this ribosomal RNA (535 nucleotides) under uncultured bacterium. Its description in RNAcentral is "bacterial SSU rRNA". It matches the Rfam family "Bacterial small subunit ribosomal RNA", at positions 29 to 573 of the family's 1533-position model. The record is from RNAcentral.